AACGAACGCUGGCGGCAGGCCUAACACAUGCAAGUCGAACGAGAAACCAGAGCUUGCUCUGGCGGACAGUGGCAGACGGGUGAGUAACGCGUGGGAAAUUACCCAGUAGUAGGGAACAACAGUUGGAAACGACUGCUAAUACCUUAUACGCCCUUCGGGGGAAAGAUUUAUCGCUAUUGGAGAUGCCCGCGUCGGAUUAGCUAGUUGGUGAGGUAACGGCUCACCAAGGCGACGAUCCGUAGCUGGUCUGAGAGGAUGAUCAGCCACACUGGGACUGAGACACGGCCCAGACUCCUACGGGAGGCAGCAGUGGGAAUAUUGCACAAUGGGCGCAAGCCUGAUGCAGCCAUGCCGCGUGAGUGAUGAAGGCCUUAGGGUUGUAAAACUCUUUCACCGGUGAAGAUAAUGACGGUAACCGGAGAAGAAG
RNAcentral lists this ribosomal RNA (427 nucleotides) under uncultured bacterium. Its description in RNAcentral is "bacterial SSU rRNA". It matches the Rfam family "Bacterial small subunit ribosomal RNA", at positions 29 to 490 of the family's 1533-position model. The record is from RNAcentral.